GGCUUGGUGGCCUAAUGGUAAGGCGUUGCUUUCCGGUGUAUCAUGCAGGAACUGGCAAAGACUGUGGGUUCGAGUCCCAUCCAGGUCG
RNAcentral lists this transfer RNA (88 nucleotides) under Capronia coronata CBS 617.96. It matches the Rfam family "tRNA". Rfam says of the family: Transfer RNA (tRNA) molecules are approximately 80 nucleotides in length. Their secondary structure includes four short double-helical elements and three loops (D, anti-codon, and T loops). Further hydrogen bonds mediate the characteristic L-shaped molecular structure. tRNAs have two regions of fundamental functional importance: the anti-codon, which is responsible for specific mRNA codon recognition, and the 3' end, to which the tRNAs corresponding amino acid is attached (by aminoacyl-tRNA synthetases). tRNAs cope with the degeneracy of the genetic code in two manners: having more than one tRNA (with a specific anti-codon) for a particular amino acid; and 'wobble' base-pairing, i.e. permitting non-standard base-pairing at the 3rd anti-codon position. The record is from Rfam by way of RNAcentral. Lineage: Eukaryota; Fungi; Ascomycota; Eurotiomycetes; Chaetothyriales; Herpotrichiellaceae.